UACAACGCUGGCGGCGGUGCCUCAGACAUGCAAGUCGAACGAUUAAAGCUCUCUUCGGAGAGUGUAUAGAGUGGCGCACGGGUGAGUAACACGUAAGUAAUCUACCCUCGAGUGGGGAAUAACAACCGGAAACGGUUGCUAAUACCGCAUAAUGCAGCGGCACCGCAAGGUGACAGUUGUUAAAGAUUUAUCGCUUGAGGAGGAGCUUGCGGCAGAUUAGCUAGUUGGUAGGGUAACGGGCUUUACCAAGGCUACGAUCUGUAACCGGUCUAAGAGGACGGUCGGUCACACUGACACUGAAUAACGGGUCAGACUCCUACGGGAGGCAGCAGUCGAGAAUUUUGGGCAAUGGGCGAAAGCCUGACCCAGCAACGCCGCGUGAAGGAUGAAGUAUUUCGGUAUGUAAACUUCGAAAGAAUAGGAAGAAUUAAUGACGGUACUAUUUAUAAGGUCCGGCUAACUACGUG
Molecule: ribosomal RNA, 467 nt
Filed under: uncultured bacterium
Lineage: Bacteria
Description: bacterial SSU rRNA
Rfam family: Bacterial small subunit ribosomal RNA
Source: RNAcentral